UGGCCAAUGAUGACUAGACCACUGCGCAAUCUGAGUUCUGGGAACCAGGUGAUGGAGUGUGCUGUAACAGCAGACUGAGGCCG
Non-coding RNA from Cavia porcellus (domestic guinea pig), 83 nucleotides. Ensembl annotates it as small Cajal body-specific RNA 18. The record is from Ensembl. Lineage: Eukaryota; Metazoa; Chordata; Mammalia; Rodentia; Caviidae.